GUAGUUCCCUUUGUAUAUUUAUUUGUCCUCUUCUCAUGUGGAGGAGGCUCGGAGCAAGAUUUCUUAAAAUCAGCUAAGAUUUAUGACGAGGGGUUGAAUUGAAUGCUCAUGAUGAGUCCAAGGGCAACAGAGAGGAAGAGGAAGUAGAGAAAUAAUAAACAAAAGCAAUAAAAAACCUGACAGAGCUUGAGGUUGAUGGGAAAGACCUACGAGAGAGAAUUUCAAGACAUAUCCAAGCCAAGGUAUCAAAUUCUAACAAGGAGAAAUAUGCUAAUUAUUUUUUAGGGUUAAAGAAUGCUGAAUGAAUGCUUUUAUUUAAAGAGUGGUAUGCUACGAAGCAACUCGAUAUUCUACAGAGAGAAAUACAGGAUGCCCAUGAGGAUUCUAAGAACUUGGAGACGGUGCUCAAAGAUCUUACAAAAGAAGUUCAAAAAUUUAGCAGAGAGCAAGAGGAAGCAGAGAGAUGAUAAACAGAACGAUAAAAAAGCAG
This 490-nucleotide long non-coding RNA is filed under the name Populus tremula. Its description in RNAcentral is "long non-coding RNA (PTRE_LNC002679)". Lineage: Eukaryota; Viridiplantae; Streptophyta; Magnoliopsida; Malpighiales; Salicaceae. The record is from RNAcentral.